GCCAUCAGUUCGGCUGGCACUCUAUGGAGACUGCCACCUAAGUGGAGGAAGGUGGGGAUGACGUCAAGUCAGCAUGGCCCUUACUCCGGGGCUACACACGUGCUACAAUGGCCGGUACAAAGGGUUGCGAAGCCGUGAGGUGGAGCGAAUCUCAAAAAGCCGGCCUCAGUUCGGAUUGGAGGCUGCAACUCGCCUCCAUGAAGUCGGAAUCGCUAGUAACCGCAGAUCAGCUACGUUGCGGUGAAUACGUUCCCGGGCCUU
Molecule: ribosomal RNA, 261 nt
Filed under: uncultured Candidatus Sumerlaeota bacterium
Lineage: Bacteria; Candidatus Sumerlaeota
Description: partial 16S ribosomal RNA
Rfam family: Bacterial small subunit ribosomal RNA
Source: RNAcentral